GUUCCAGAAGUCCAAUGGAUAGCGCGUUGGACUUCUAAUCCAAAGGUCGUGGUUUCGAAUUCCACCUGGGAUG
RNAcentral lists this transfer RNA (73 nucleotides) under Trichonephila clavata. It matches the Rfam family "tRNA". From Rfam's summary of the family: Transfer RNA (tRNA) molecules are approximately 80 nucleotides in length. The record is from Rfam by way of RNAcentral. Lineage: Eukaryota; Metazoa; Arthropoda; Arachnida; Araneae; Nephilidae.